GUGGGAUCUAUUGUUUCCUGGCACAUUGGGAGGAAAAACAAAGGGAUUUAUUUUCAUUACCCUGUAAUUUUUUUUCUUUUCUAUUUUUUUAAAUGUGGCCAGGGAGCUCGUCUCUCUCCGUGUCACACUGGGAUCCGCCUGGCAGCCGCCGGGAGCCGCAGCCAAUGUGUUAGGACUUCAGGUGCUUCUUGGCACAAAGCUAGACUGCGACCUCCUACCAUAGCGCUUGGCGUCACCUGCUCUCCCGGUCCUGCCCCAGGGCCGAGGGAUUGCGUCCCGAACCGGGCUUGGGAAUCGGCUGCCUCUCAAAUGAACCUCUAGUCUUGCUUUGAAAAAAACAUUCUCUGUAACUCUUGACUGUGACUAAGUUCCUAAUACACCUGUUGGCACGAUUGCUAACACAGUAUACCAUUUGAGAGGUACUUUUCUUGACCCAAUACUGGUGAUUAGAGAAGACAGGUAUCUUGGUUUUUUGUUUUUUCUUUGAUCAUUAUGAACAUUGGC
This 504-nucleotide long non-coding RNA is filed under the name Papio anubis (olive baboon). RNAcentral describes it as "lncRNA (ENSPANG00000040054.1)". Lineage: Eukaryota; Metazoa; Chordata; Mammalia; Primates; Cercopithecidae. The record is from RNAcentral.